GUGGGUGUAGUUCAGUUGGUUAGAGCGCCAGAUUGUGGCUCUGGAGGUCGUGGGUUCAAGUCCCACCAUCCACC
RNAcentral lists this transfer RNA (74 nucleotides) under Thermoclostridium stercorarium subsp. stercorarium DSM 8532. Its description in RNAcentral is "[Clostridium] stercorarium subsp. stercorarium DSM 8532 tRNA". It matches the Rfam family "tRNA". From Rfam's summary of the family: Transfer RNA (tRNA) molecules are approximately 80 nucleotides in length. Their secondary structure includes four short double-helical elements and three loops (D, anti-codon, and T loops). The record is from Rfam by way of RNAcentral. Lineage: Bacteria; Bacillati; Bacillota; Clostridia; Eubacteriales; Oscillospiraceae.